CCUUCGAUAGCUCAGUUGGUAGAGCGGUGGACUGUAGACGGUUAAAAACUGAAAUCCAUAGGUCGCUGGUUCAAAUCCGGCUCGAAGGA
RNAcentral lists this transfer RNA (89 nucleotides) under Papilio machaon (common yellow swallowtail). It matches the Rfam family "tRNA". Rfam says of the family: Transfer RNA (tRNA) molecules are approximately 80 nucleotides in length. Their secondary structure includes four short double-helical elements and three loops (D, anti-codon, and T loops). Lineage: Eukaryota; Metazoa; Arthropoda; Insecta; Lepidoptera; Papilionidae. The record is from Rfam by way of RNAcentral.